AUGCUAGAGGUAUGCAUGUUACUGAAAUGUCAAACCCCUGACCUGGAAACUUGUGGUGAGCCUGUGGGGUCAGCUUUUACCAAGUUUGAAGAUUCCCUCAGUGGCACAUUUGGAACAAGUUUCAAGAGACGGAUGUCUGCAGAGCCAAGGCGAAGCCCCUUUGCCUAUCUAGGCUUUAGCCCUUUAUGGAAGAGUGUUUGAGAGGGAUCCUCCAUGUUUAGGGCAGGGCCCUGGGUAACUACAGUGAUCCCCAUUCACUGCCAUCCUUUGAGGACUAGCCUGGCAAAGAGGGGAGGUAAAAAGAGACAGCUCAGCCCAUAGUAUCUGUUUAGAAGAUGUGUCCUGACUUUGCUGAAACAGCCAACUUAAGCAGACUUAAAAAGAAAUGGAUGAGUGCGCACACUUUACCUACUCACUCUGGGAGCUGCAGUCGUCUUCUGUGUGGGUGCACUUAAGUGUGUGUCACUAUGUCCAUGUGUGGUGCAACAUGUAUCUAUGGGAGGAGAGCCAGGAAGAGUCUUUGUGUGGCAACUGCUCUAACGUAUGCAAAUACUGUAUCUCUCAUUUGUAAAUGCACAGGGUUAGUGUGGAGAAUGUGGAGGGUAUUUGGUCCUAGUCAGUUAGGAUACAGAAAGUUAAAAACAAAGGUAUCUUUUAAAUAACUUUUUAACAAAUUGAAAUUGUUCCAUUAUCUCCUUAUUCUACUUUUAUGGAAUAUUUGUAUGGAAGUUAGAUACUUAGGAAUGGAAAGUUAGAAAGAGAUAAAUGAAUAAAUGAUCUACUUCAGAACA
Bos indicus x Bos taurus (hybrid cattle) is the source of this 791-nucleotide long non-coding RNA. The record is from Ensembl. Lineage: Eukaryota; Metazoa; Chordata; Mammalia; Artiodactyla; Bovidae.